CAGCACCUCAAGUGGUCAGGAUGAUUAUUGGGCCUAAAGCAUCCGUAGCCGGCGCUGUAAGUUUUCGGUUAAAUCUGUACGCUCAACGUACAGGCUGCCGGGAAUACUGCAGCGCUAGGGAGUGGGAGAGGUGGACGGUACUCGGUAGGAAGGGGUAAAAUCCUUUGAUCUAUUGAUGACCACCUGUGGCGAAGGCGGUCUACCAGAACACGUCCGACGGUGAGGGAUGAAAGCUGGGGGAGCAAACCGGAUUAGAUACCCGAGUAGUCC
RNAcentral lists this ribosomal RNA (270 nucleotides) under uncultured archaeon. RNAcentral describes it as "partial 16S ribosomal RNA". It matches the Rfam family "Archaeal small subunit ribosomal RNA", at positions 477 to 747 of the family's 1478-position model. The record is from RNAcentral.